GUACUCGCUUCGCCGGUACAUUUACUAAAAUUGGAACGAUAGAGGGAAGAUUAGCAUGGCCCCUGCGCAAGGAUGAGACAACAAAAAAAGUGAUUAGCACGACAGAA
Schistocerca nitens (vagrant locust) is the source of this 107-nucleotide small nuclear RNA. NCBI's taxonomy places the organism in Eukaryota, Metazoa, Arthropoda, Insecta, Orthoptera, Acrididae. The record is from RefSeq and is a predicted model, not a curated record.